This 835-nucleotide ribosomal RNA is filed under the name Streptomyces sp. RNAcentral describes it as "bacterial SSU rRNA". It matches the Rfam family "Bacterial small subunit ribosomal RNA", at positions 95 to 946 of the family's 1533-position model. Lineage: Bacteria; Bacillati; Actinomycetota; Actinomycetes; Kitasatosporales; Streptomycetaceae. The record is from RNAcentral.
GUGGCGACGGGUGAGUAACACGUGGGCAAUCUGCCCUUCACUCUGGGACAAGCCCUGGAAACGGGGUCUAAUACCGGAUAACACUCCUCCCUGCAUGGGGAGGGGUUAAAAGCUCCGGCGGUGAAGGAUGAGCCCGCGGCCUAUCAGCUUGUUGGUGGGGUAAUGGCCUACCAAGGCGACGACGGGUAGCCGGCCUGAGAGGGCGACCGGCCACACUGGGACUGAGACACGGCCCAGACUCCUACGGGAGGCAGCAGUGGGGAAUAUUGCACAAUGGGCGAAAGCCUGAUGCAGCGACGCCGCGUGAGGGAUGACGGCCUUCGGGUUGUAAACCUCUUUCAGCAGGGAAGAAGCGCAAGUGACGGUACCUGCAGAAGAAGCGCCGGCUAACUACGUGCCAGCAGCCGCGGUAAUACGUAGGGCGCAAGCGUUGUCCGGAAUUAUUGGGCGUAAAGAGCUCGUAGGCGGCUUGUCACGUCGGAUGUGAAAGCCCGGGGCUUAACCCCGGGUCUGCAUUCGAUACGGGCAGGCUAGAGUGUGGUAGGGGAGAUCGGAAUUCCUGGUGUAGCGGUGAAAUGCGCAGAUAUCAGGAGGAACACCGGUGGCGAAGGCGGAUCUCUGGGCCAUUACUGACGCUGAGGAGCGAAAGCGUGGGGAGCGAACAGGAUUAGAUACCCUGGUAGUCCACGCCGUAAACGUUGGGAACUAGGUGUUGGCGACAUUCCACGUCGUCGGUGCCGCAGCUAACGCAUUAAGUUCCCCGCCUGGGGAGUACGGCCGCAAGGCUAAACUCAAGGAAUUGACGGGGGCCCGCACAAGCAGCGAGCAUGUGGCU